AUCCUUUGAAGAGACCUGUACCUUCAGUGUUACUAGCUAGCAAUGCUGAGUGGAUUACUUUGAGGUCUAUUUGAUCUUUGCUCUCAUUUGCUGUAGCUUACUUUGCCUGCCCAUGUCUCCGUUUCCAAUCUGGGAGAAUUAUAUUGUCUAACUUCGGCAUCUCUGACCUGUGUUUAGAACAGAUACGAUGUACCUUGAGCUGUAAAACCUGCAUGUAUUUACCAAUCCAACAAACAAAAUCUAAAACUUGCUCUUGCUGGUAGAAUGGAGGGAAAUCAAAAUGAUGGCUUUAGUAUUAAAAUCUGACUCUAGCUCUGUCUCCAAGGGAUAAAGAUGUCAUGCAUCAGUUUAUGCCAAUGUGAAGGGCACAGAAACUUACUGCUUCCAAAAGAACUAACAUGUAGGAGUAAUUCAGUCACUUCAUACUAAUGACCAAGUCCUUCUGGGUAUACAGCAUUUCAGGGAAGAGGAAAACAACCCAAGUAGUCUGAAUUACACAUUAUUGCAACUAACAGAAUUGUUUUACUCUUUUUCCUCUUUGAGUCAUCUACUUUGGUGCUCUGAGGGUUCAGGAGGAAAUAGAGGAAGAGUUCUGAUCCACGCAUGGAAAGCAGUCCCUUCAGGACCUUUGGAUCUCAGAUCUGCAGGAUCCUGGUCUUUACGUUUGCAAUGACUUAAUUUCUUCAGCCUGUGCACAUUCAUAGUUUGUUGGCUCCUUAAAAUGAACUUUUGUGUUACUUAAAAAUCCAAAGACAUAGAUCUAAGGUGAAGAGGUUAUUUUAAAAGGGUAAGUGAAAGGUUUUUUAAAAACCAUAAUUAGCAAGAAAAGGUUGAUGUUGCAUUUGCUGGAGAACUCAUGUAAGAAUGUGGAGAUUCUGCCAUUUCUAUCCAGACAGAACUCAACCAUGUCCUCAUGUACCUGGGAAAGAGAAAUGGUCAUAAGAAUCUGAAUAAGAAUUAAAACAGGGACUCUGCUGUAGAUUAUGCCAUGUCUUUUUAAUUCCUCGUUGCCUCCUUUUCCCAGUCUGUACAAUACAGGGUUAUAAAAUUUAGCUGGAUUGAGCCUAAGGAAUGGGAUCUGACCAGGAUAACAUACCAAAAUAGGCAAAAUAUAAAUCUAUUAUGAGGGUUUUAUCUAUCCAUCUGGCAGCCUGAUCAAGUGGAAGGUAUCCCUGCCUAUGGCUGGGAGUUUAGAACUAGAGGAUCUUUAAAGGUUCCUUCCAGCUCAAACCAUUCUAUGAUUCUAUAUAUAUCAAAGUAACUUCUGAAUUAAGUCCUUGAAGAGGGAGAAACCUGCUGAUAAUGCUGUAAGGCGUUAUCAUAAAUGCCUUGUCAAUCGAUUAUGCUUAUGGCAAAAUAAAUUAAAGGACCAGAAGACUGCGUAGGACA
Molecule: long non-coding RNA, 1389 nt
Filed under: Anser cygnoides (Swan goose)
Lineage: Eukaryota; Metazoa; Chordata; Aves; Anseriformes; Anatidae
Description: lncRNA (ENSACDG00005011940.1)
Source: RNAcentral